This 502-nucleotide unclassified non-coding RNA is filed under the name Hevea brasiliensis (rubber tree). Lineage: Eukaryota; Viridiplantae; Streptophyta; Magnoliopsida; Malpighiales; Euphorbiaceae. The record is from RNAcentral.
AGAGAGAGAGAGAGAGAAGAGGGGUGGACAAACAUAGGACUGGGAAACUGGCCACUUUGUUUUUAACCCUAGUCUAAUGGGCUGGCACAUUUUUUUCAAAACUUAAAGGCCACAUAUGGUUCAAUAAAAUGCAAUUCUCAGAGCAAGGUUCCAGUUUCUAGCUUAGUAAACAAGAGUGUCAAAAUUUUUACAAUAUUUUUAAUUAAAGAACUUAGUAGACAUCAAUUUCAUUUCCAUAAGUGUACCAAACAUGCUCUAAGAGUCUAGUGUUCUUUCUUUCAAGUUUUUAUUGGUAUAUCAGUAUAUCACUGAUAAGUGAUAACCAUUAAUUUAUAUAAUAAGGGCCAUAAGUUAAACAUCAAAUUAGUCCAAAGCUUAUUCCUUUUAACCUUUCAUUUGAACCAUUAAUCCCUAUUUGUCUCUCUUUUAUGUUAUUUAUAUUUAUUUCUUUCAUAGGUAGAAUGAAGAGAAUCAAAUGCCCAGUAUGGAAGUGUGAUAAGUU